This 499-nucleotide ribosomal RNA is filed under the name uncultured bacterium. RNAcentral's name for it is "bacterial SSU rRNA". It matches the Rfam family "Bacterial small subunit ribosomal RNA", at positions 28 to 486 of the family's 1533-position model. The record is from RNAcentral.
GACGAACGCUGGCGGCGUGCCUAAUACAUGCAAGUCGAACGCACUCUCGUUUAGAUUGAAGGAGCUUGCUCCUGAUUGAUAAACAUUUGAGUGAGUGGCGGACGGGUGAGUAACACGUGGGUAACCUGCCCUAAAGUGGGGGAUAACAUUUGGAAACAGAUGCUAAUACCGCAUAAAACCUAACACCGCAUGGUGUAGGGUUGAAAGAUGGUUUCGGCUAUCACUUUAGGAUGGACCCGCGGUGCAUUAGUUAGUUGGUGAGGUAAAGGCUCACCAAGACCGUGAUGCAUAGCCGACCUGAGAGGGUAAUCGGCCACACUGGGACUGAGACACGGCCCAGACUCCUACGGGAGGCAGCAGUAGGGAAUCUUCCACAAUGGACGAAAGUCUGAUGGAGCAACGCCGCGUGAGUGAAGAAGGUUUUCGGAUCGUAAAACUCUGUUGUUGGAGAAGAAUGUAUCUGAUAGUAACUGAUCAGGUAGUGACGGUAUCCAACCAG